This 252-nucleotide unclassified non-coding RNA is filed under the name uncultured fungus. RNAcentral's name for it is "partial contains 5.8S ribosomal RNA, internal transcribed spacer 2, and large subunit ribosomal RNA". Lineage: Eukaryota; Fungi. The record is from RNAcentral.
AACGCACAUUGCGCCCUUUGGCAUUCCGAGGGGCAUGCCCGUUCGAGCGUCAUUACACCACUCAAGCCUGGCUUGGUAUUGGGCGACCGGGUGCUCCCCGUCUGGGGGACCCGCGCCUCCAUAUGUUCUCGGCUGGACGGUCGGAAUCUCAGCGUUGUGCAAACGAUCCGCUGUGGGACCGGCCCGGACGUCGCCGUUAAACCCUCAUCACAGGUUGACCUCGGAUCGGGUAGGGAUACCCGCUGAACUUAA